UUCUGUUAUGAGAAAAGGCAUAUAAAAAGCUAUAAUUUUUCUUGUGACAAGUUUCUCAUUGCUGUAAAUGAUUUUUUGUGGCACAUUCUUUUUUAUCAUGCAAAUGUUUAUCCAUAAGAAAUCUGAGUUCAGAUAUUUGUUAUGUUAACCUAAUCCACUAUUUUAAGAAACUUUCUUUCACAUGGAUAAAGGAACUAAGGAAGGGG
RNAcentral lists this long non-coding RNA (206 nucleotides) under Elaeis guineensis (African oil palm). Its description in RNAcentral is "long non-coding RNA (EGUI_LNC041224)". The record is from RNAcentral. Lineage: Eukaryota; Viridiplantae; Streptophyta; Magnoliopsida; Arecales; Arecaceae.